RNAcentral lists this ribosomal RNA (492 nucleotides) under uncultured bacterium. Its description in RNAcentral is "partial 16S ribosomal RNA". It matches the Rfam family "Bacterial small subunit ribosomal RNA", at positions 30 to 507 of the family's 1533-position model. The record is from RNAcentral.
AUUGAACGCUGGCGGCAUGCUUUACACAUGCAAGUCGAACGGUAACAGGCCUUCGGGUGCUGACGAGUGGCGAACGGGUGAGUAAUGCAUCGGAACGGGCCCAGAGGUGGGGGAUAACGCAGCGAAAGCUGUGCUAAUACCGCAUGUGAUCUGAGGAUGAAAGCGGGGGACCAGGCAGCAAUGUUUGGCCUCGCGCCUUUGGAGCGGCCGAUGUCAGAUUAGGUAGUUGGUGGGGUAAAGGCCUACCAAGCCGACGAUCUGUAGCUGGUCUGAGAGGACGACCAGCCACACUGGGACUGAGACACGGCCCAGACUCCUACGGGAGGCAGCAGUGGGGAAUUUUGGACAAUGGGCGCAAGCCUGAUCCAGCAAUGCCGCGUGCGGGAAGAAGGCCUUCGGGUUGUAAACCGCUUUUGUACGGAACGAAAAGGCUCUGGCUAAUACCUGGGGCUGAUGACGGUACCGUAAGAAUAAGCACCGGCUAACUACGUG